GACGGAGGAUGCAAGCGUUAUCCGGAAUUAUUGGGCGUAAAGCGUCCGUAGGCGGUUGAAUAAGUCAGCUGUUAAAGACUGGGGCUUAACCCUGGGGUUGCAGCUGAGACUGGUUGACUAGAGAGCGGUAGGGGUAGAGGGAAUUCCUAGUGUAGCGGUGAAAUGCGUAGAGAUUAGGAAGAAAACCAGUGGCGAAGGCGCUCUACUGGGCCGUUACUGACGAUGAUGGACGAAAGAUAGGGGAGCGAAUGGG
RNAcentral lists this ribosomal RNA (253 nucleotides) under uncultured bacterium. Its description in RNAcentral is "partial 16S ribosomal RNA". It matches the Rfam family "Bacterial small subunit ribosomal RNA", at positions 524 to 776 of the family's 1533-position model. The record is from RNAcentral.